GGACUCGCACAAGCGGUGGAACAUGUGGUUUAAUUCGAAGCAACGCGCAGAACCUUACCAGUCCUUGACAUGGGGAGUUUGGUUUCCGGAGACGGAUUCCUUCAGUUCGGCUGGCUCCCACACAGGUGCUGCAUGGCUGUCGUCAGCUCGUGUCGUGAGAUGUUGGGUUAAGUCCCGCAACGAGCGCAACCCUCAUCUUUAGUUGCCAUCAGUUAGGCUGGGCACUCUAGAGAAACUGCCUGCGAUGAGCAGGAGGAAGGCGGGGAUGACGUCAAGUCCUCAUGGCCCUUAUGGACUGGGCUACACACGUGCUACAAUGGCGGUGACAGUGGGAAGCGAUAGGGUGACCUGGAGCAAAUCCCCAAAAGCCGUCCCAGUUCGGAUUGUACUCUGCAACUCGAGUGCAUGAAGUUGGAAUC
This 419-nucleotide ribosomal RNA is filed under the name uncultured bacterium. Its description in RNAcentral is "bacterial SSU rRNA". It matches the Rfam family "Bacterial small subunit ribosomal RNA", at positions 917 to 1333 of the family's 1533-position model. The record is from RNAcentral.